Molecule: ribosomal RNA, 426 nt
Filed under: uncultured bacterium
Lineage: Bacteria
Description: bacterial SSU rRNA
Rfam family: Bacterial small subunit ribosomal RNA
Source: RNAcentral
AUGGGAACGCGAAGAACCUUACCUAGACUUGACAUCUCCUGAAUUAAUCGUAAUUGAUGAAAUCCCUUCGGGGACAGGAAGACAGGUGGUGCAUGGUUGUCGUCAGCUCGUGUCGUGAGAUGUUAGGUUAAGUCCUGCAACGAGCGCAACCCUUAUCAUUAGUUGCUAACAUUUAGUUGAGCACUCUAGUGAGACUGCCCGGGGUUAACCGGGAGGAAGGUGGGGAUGACGUCAAAUCAUCAUGCCCCUUAUGUCUAGGGCUACACACGUGCUACAAUGGUGGGAACAAAGAGAUGCAAGACCGCGAGGUGAAGCCAAACUCAAAAACCCAUCCCAGUUCGGAUUGUAGGCUGAAACUCGCCUACAUGAAGCUGGAGUUGCUAGUAAUCGCGAAUCAGAAUGUCGCGGUGAAUACGUUCCCGGGUC